RNAcentral lists this ribosomal RNA (291 nucleotides) under uncultured bacterium. RNAcentral describes it as "partial 16S ribosomal RNA". The record is from RNAcentral. RNAcentral also lists the same sequence under 1 other name.
GGACUACUGGGGUAUCUAAUCCCGUUCGCUCCCCUGGCUUUCGCGCCUCAGCAUCAGAAAAGGCCCAGCGCGCCGCUUUCGCCACCGGCGUUCCUUCCGAUAUCUACGCAUUUCACCGCUCCACCGGAAGUUCCGCGCGCCCCUACCUCCCUCGAAACAGCCAGUAUCAAGAGCACUUUUCCGGUUGAGCCGAAAGAUUUCACUCCUGACUUGGCCGCCCGCCUACGCGCCCUUUAAGCCCAGUGAUUCCGAACAACGUUCGCACGGUUCGUCUUACCGCGGCGGCUGGCA